Molecule: unclassified non-coding RNA, 296 nt
Filed under: uncultured fungus
Lineage: Eukaryota; Fungi
Description: partial contains small subunit ribosomal RNA, internal transcribed spacer 1, and 5.8S ribosomal RNA
Rfam family: Eukaryotic small subunit ribosomal RNA (bases 1-73)
Source: RNAcentral
GCAAACUUGGUCAUUUAGAGGAAGUAAAAGUCGUAACAAGGUUUCCGUAGGUGAACCUGCGGAAGGAUCAUUAAAGAAUUAGCGGAGGUUUUGAUGCCUGCAGCUUGCUGCGUGUGCUCGCCUCCAAAAUCCUUUUCCAUACACCUGUGAACUUUUGCAAGUGAGAAGAGAAAUCUUCUUACUUGUUAUACAUAAACUCUGAUAAUAUUUUGAAUAUAUCAAGUCGUAAGACUUAUAACACAUAAACAACUUUUAACAACGGAUCUCUUGGUUCUCGCAUCGAUGAAGAACGCAGC